Oryzias latipes (Japanese medaka) is the source of this 114-nucleotide non-coding RNA. The record is from Rfam. Lineage: Eukaryota; Metazoa; Chordata; Actinopteri; Beloniformes; Adrianichthyidae.
GUCGGUUAUGGUGACAUGUGCCCUAUCACAAUGGGAGGUAAAAUGGUAGGCACUUUAUGUGCCAUUGCUGGUGUCCUAACCAUUGCUUUGCCUGUUCCCGUCAUUGUCUCCAAC